AAGGUGUCAUAUGCAACAGCCAUGGAUUGGUUCAUUGCUGUAUGCUUUGCUUUC
Molecule: regulatory RNA element, 54 nt
Organism: Cavia porcellus (domestic guinea pig)
Lineage: Eukaryota; Metazoa; Chordata; Mammalia; Rodentia; Caviidae
Rfam family: Editing element of GABA-3 exon 9
Source: Rfam